RNAcentral lists this small RNA (24 nucleotides) under Arabidopsis thaliana (thale cress). RNAcentral describes it as "ATSL243810". The record is from RNAcentral. Lineage: Eukaryota; Viridiplantae; Streptophyta; Magnoliopsida; Brassicales; Brassicaceae.
UUGAGGAAGAGGAAGAAGAAGAAG